This 236-nucleotide unclassified non-coding RNA is filed under the name plant metagenome. RNAcentral's name for it is "partial contains small subunit ribosomal RNA, internal transcribed spacer 1, and 5.8S ribosomal RNA". The record is from RNAcentral.
UUUCCGUAGGUGAACCUGCGGAAGGAUCAUUACUGAGUGAGGGCCCCUCGGGGUCCAACCUCCCACCCGUGUUUAACGAACCUUGUUGCUUCGGCGGGCCCGCCUCACGGCCGCCGGGGGGCAUCUGCCCCCGGGCCCGCGCCCGCCGAAGCCACCUGUGAACGCAGUCUGAAGUAUGCAGUCUGAGACAAUUAUUAAAUUAAUUAAAACUUUCAACAACGGAUCUCUUGGUUCCG